Molecule: ribosomal RNA, 253 nt
Filed under: uncultured bacterium
Lineage: Bacteria
Description: partial 16S ribosomal RNA
Rfam family: Bacterial small subunit ribosomal RNA
Source: RNAcentral
UACAGAGGUCCCAAGCGUUGUUCGGAUUCACUGGGCGUAAAGGGUGCGUAGGUGGCCAGGUAAGUUUGGUGUGAAAGCUCGGAGCUUAACUCCGAAAAGUCAUUGAAUACUAUCUGGCUGGAGGGUCGGAGGGGAGACUGGAAUUCUCGGUGUAGCAGUGAAAUGCGUAGAUAUCGAGAGGAACACCAGUGGCGAAGGCGAGUCUCUGGACGACUCCUGACACUGAGGCACGAGAGCUAGGGGAGCAAACAGG